GACGAACGCUGGCGGCGUGCUUAACACAGGCAAGUCGAACGGAAAGGCCCUGCUUUUGUGGGGUGCUCGAGUGGCGAACGUGUGAGUAACACGUGAGUAACCUGCUCUUGACUUUGGGAUAACUUCAGGAAACUGGGGCUAAUACCGGAUAGGAGCUCCUGCUGCAUGGUGGGGGUUGGAAAGUUUCGGCGGUUGGGUAUGGACUCGCGGCUUAUCAGCUUGUUGGUGGGGUAGUGGCUUACCAAGGCUUUGACGGGUAGCCGGCCUGAGAGCGUGACCGGCCACAUUGGGACUGAGAUACGGCCUAGACUGCUACGGGAGGCAGCAGUGGGGAAUAUUGCGCAAUGGGGGGAAGCUUGAUGCAGCACCGCCGCGCGCGGGAUGACGGACUCACGGGUGCAGCCCGAUUUAGACUGGGACGAAGUGUCAGUGAUGGUCUCGGCGCCAGCAGCACCGGCUAAAUACCUG
RNAcentral lists this ribosomal RNA (468 nucleotides) under uncultured bacterium. RNAcentral's name for it is "partial 16S ribosomal RNA". It matches the Rfam family "Bacterial small subunit ribosomal RNA", at positions 28 to 507 of the family's 1533-position model. The record is from RNAcentral.